AGGUGCCGCCUGCCCAGUGACCCAUUCCCUCAACGGCCGCGGUAUCACUAACCGUGCAAAGGUAGCAUAAUCACUUGUCCCCUAAAUAGAGACUAGAAUGAAUGGCCAAAUGAGGGCCCAACUGUCUUUUAGGGUCAAUCAAUGAACCUGAUCUUUUAGUACAAAAGCUGAAAUAAGCCCAUAAGACAAAAAGACCCUGUGGAGCUUCAAAUAGGGCCCAUAAAAUCAAUCACCCUAUUUUAAGUUGGGGCGACUACGGAAUAAAACCAAACUUCCACGCAUAGGACCACUUACCCCAAAAAGAUUAACGCAUCAAGAUGAUAUCUUUUGACCCAGACUAAAGCUGAGUAACGAACCAAGUUACCCCAGGGAUAACAGCGCCAUCCUCUUCAAGAGCCCCUAUCACCAAGAGGGUUUACGACCUCGAUGUUGGAUCAGGGCCCCCAAGUGGUGCAGCCGCUACUUAAGGUUCGUUUGUUCAACGAUUAAUGCCCUACGUGAUCUGAGUUCAGACCGGA
This 518-nucleotide ribosomal RNA is filed under the name Chatogekko amazonicus. RNAcentral's name for it is "partial 16S ribosomal RNA". It matches the Rfam family "Bacterial large subunit ribosomal RNA", at positions 1850 to 2620 of the family's 2925-position model. Lineage: Eukaryota; Metazoa; Chordata; Lepidosauria; Squamata; Sphaerodactylidae. The record is from RNAcentral.